RNAcentral lists this ribosomal RNA (279 nucleotides) under uncultured Staphylococcus sp. Its description in RNAcentral is "partial 16S ribosomal RNA". It matches the Rfam family "Bacterial small subunit ribosomal RNA", at positions 83 to 356 of the family's 1533-position model. Lineage: Bacteria; Bacillati; Bacillota; Bacilli; Caryophanales; Staphylococcaceae. The record is from RNAcentral.
CCUUUGACGUUAGCGGCGGACGGGUGAGUAACACGUGGGUAACCUACCUAUAAGACUGGGAUAACUUCGGGAAACCGGAGAUAAUACCGGAUAAUAUUUCGAACCGCAUGGUUCGAUAGUGAAAGGUGGUUUUGCUAUCACUUAUAGAUGGACCCGCGCCGUAUUAGCUAGUUGGUAAGGUAACGGCUUACCAAGGCGACGAUACGUAGCCGACCUGAGAGGGUGAUCGGCCACACUGGAACUGAGACACGGUCCAGACUCCUACGGGAGGCAGCAGCG